RNAcentral lists this ribosomal RNA (385 nucleotides) under uncultured bacterium. Its description in RNAcentral is "bacterial SSU rRNA". It matches the Rfam family "Bacterial small subunit ribosomal RNA", at positions 29 to 399 of the family's 1533-position model. The record is from RNAcentral.
AACGAACGCUGGCGGCGUGGAUUAGGCAUGCAAGUCGAGCGAGAAAGGGAGCAAUCCCUGAGUAAAGCGGCGAACUGGUGAGUAACAGGUGGGCAAUGUGCCCCAAAGUGGGGAUAACUCCGAGAAAUCGGAGCUAAUACCGCAUGUGGUGUCAUAGGCUUCGGCUCGUGACAUUAAAGAGGGCUCCGCAAGGAGCAAUUCGCUAUGGGAUCCGGCCCGCCCGGAUUAGCUAGUUGGUGAGGUAACGGCUCACCAAGGCAACGAUCCGUAGCUGGUCUGAGAGGAUGGUCAGCCACACUGGAACUGAGAUACGGUCCAGACUCCGUACGGGGGCAGCAGUCUAGAGGCUUCGGCAAGUCGGGGAAACCCUGACCGAGCGACGCCG